CGACUAGGUGGAACUACAUGUACGAAAGUUUAGUAGUAGCGUACGAAUAUAGAAACCCAAUUAACGCUACGUAUAAUUCUUGGGAUUGUGGGGAGGAAGAUAAUGACAUGUAACUAGACAAGAUUGGACUAACGUUAAAAUUCUUUUAGAUUUUUAGAACAUUUUCAUGUGGCUACAAAUUGCUAACUACACAAGAUUGGACUAACGUUAAAAUUCUUUUAGAUUUUUUAGAACAUUUUCAUGUGGCUACAAAUGCUUUAUCUGGCCAAUAUUAUCCAAUUGUUUCUAACUGUUUAGUUUAUAUUGCCACACUUGCUAAUUUGUUUGUUGAUUUUAGCGAGGGAGGGGGCAUUUAUGAAAUUGCAAUAACUGAAAUGAAAAAGAAGUUUAAAAAAUAUUUUUUCCCAAUCCCUCCUAUAUUUGGUGUGUCUGCUAUGUUAAAUCCUAGUAUGAAAUUAGGAGGUCCCCACUUUUGGUAUUCAUAGAUCUUUCAGAAGUAGAAAUGGCGACACUAGCUGAUGUGAAAAGCGUCAAUUAAAGUGAAUGCUCAAACUCUUUAUAAUGCUUAUAAACAGGCGUUAGAGCAUGCUAGGCCAAAUAUUCCAACCCAACUUCGUCCACAUCACAGGCGUCUAAAAGAGCUGCUGGCUUAACAGCUCUUAAAUCGUGGACUGAGUUCAGGGGUACUCAAGGGAAAAAUGUAGAUGAUAUUUCCCAUCUAAAUGAGCUUCAAGUUUAUUUGUCGCAGGGAUUAGAGAAUGAGAAUCCAGACGGCUCUUUCGACCUUUUGGANNNN
This 796-nucleotide long non-coding RNA is filed under the name Nicotiana benthamiana. RNAcentral describes it as "long non-coding RNA (NBEN_LNC032261)". The record is from RNAcentral. Lineage: Eukaryota; Viridiplantae; Streptophyta; Magnoliopsida; Solanales; Solanaceae.